RNAcentral lists this ribosomal RNA (1400 nucleotides) under Salmonella enterica subsp. enterica serovar Enteritidis. Its description in RNAcentral is "partial 23S ribosomal RNA". It matches the Rfam family "Bacterial large subunit ribosomal RNA", at positions 1525 to 2899 of the family's 2925-position model. Lineage: Bacteria; Pseudomonadati; Pseudomonadota; Gammaproteobacteria; Enterobacterales; Enterobacteriaceae. The record is from RNAcentral.
GUGUGUUCCAGGUAAAUCCGGUUCACUUUAACACUGAGGCGUGACGACGAGGCACUACGGUGCUGAAGCAACAAAUGCCCUGCUUCCAGGAAAAGCCUCUAAGCAUCAGGUAACAUCAAAUCGUACCCCAAACCGACACAGGUGGUCAGGUAGAGAAUACCAAGGCGCUUGAGAGAACUCGGGUGAAGGAACUAGGCAAAAUGGUGCCGUAACUUCGGGAGAAGGCACGCUGACACGUAGGUGAAGUGAUUUACUCAUGGAGCUGAAGUCAGUCGAAGAUACCAGCUGGCUGCAACUGUUUAUUAAAAACACAGCACUGUGCAAACACGAAAGUGGACGUAUACGGUGUGACGCCUGCCCGGUGCCGGAAGGUUAAUUGAUGGGGUCAGCGCAAGCGAAGCUCCUGAUCGAAGCCCCGGUAAACGGCGGCCGUAACUAUAACGGUCCUAAGGUAGCGAAAUUCCUUGUCGGGUAAGUUCCGACCUGCACGAAUGGCGUAAUGAUGGCCAGGCUGUCUCCACCCGAGACUCAGUGAAAUUGAACUCGCUGUGAAGAUGCAGUGUACCCGCGGCAAGACGGAAAGACCCCGUGAACCUUUACUAUAGCUUGACACUGAACAUUGAGCCUUGAUGUGUAGGAUAGGUGGGAGGCUUUGAAGUGUGGACGCCAGUCUGCAUGGAGCCGACCUUGAAAUACCACCCUUUAAUGUUUGAUGUUCUAACGUGGACCCGUUACCCGGGUUGCGGACAGUGUCUGGUGGGUAGUUUGACUGGGGCGGUCUCCUCCUAAAGAGUAACGGAGGAGCACGAAGGUUGGCUAAUCCUGGUCGGACAUCAGGAGGUUAGUGCAAUGGCAUAAGCCAGCUUGACUGCGAGCGUGACGGCGCGAGCAGGUGCGAAAGCAGGUCAUAGUGAUCCGGUGGUUCUGAAUGGAAGGGCCAUCGCUCAACGGAUAAAAGGUACUCCGGGGAUAACAGGCUGAUACCGCCCAAGAGUUCAUAUCGACGGCGGUGUUUGGCACCUCGAUGUCGGCUCAUCACAUCCUGGGGCUGAAGUAGGUCCCAAGGGUAUGGCUGUUCGCCAUUUAAAGUGGUACGCGAGCUGGGUUUAGAACGUCGUGAGACAGUUCGGUCCCUAUCUGCCGUGGGCGCUGGAGAACUGAGGGGGGCUGCUCCUAGUACGAGAGGACCGGAGUGGACGCAUCACUGGUGUUCGGGUUGUCAUGCCAAUGGCACUGCCCGGUAGCUAAAUUCGGAAGAGAUAAGUGCUGAAAGCAUCUAAGCACGAAACUUGCCCCGAGAUGAGUUCUCCCUGAGACUUAGAGUCUCCUGAAGGAACGUUGAAGACGACGACGUUGAUAGGCCGGGUGUGUAAGCGCAGCGAUGCGUUGAGCUAACCGGU